RNAcentral lists this ribosomal RNA (562 nucleotides) under uncultured Desulfuromonadales bacterium. RNAcentral describes it as "bacterial SSU rRNA". It matches the Rfam family "Bacterial small subunit ribosomal RNA", at positions 364 to 916 of the family's 1533-position model. The record is from RNAcentral. Lineage: Bacteria; Pseudomonadati; Thermodesulfobacteriota; Desulfuromonadia; Desulfuromonadales.
UUGCGCAAUGGGCGAAAGCCUGACGCAGCAACGCCGCGUGAGGGAUGAAGGCCUUCGGGUCGUAAACCUCUGUCAGAGGGGAAGAACCGUCUGUGGGAUAAUACCCCGCAGGCCUGACGGUACCCUCAGAGGAAGCACCGGCUAACUCCGUGCCAGCAGCCGCGGUAAUACGGAGGGUGCAAGCGUUGUUCGGAAUUAUUGGGCGUAAAGCGCGCGCAGGCGGCUGCGCAAGUCUGAUGUGAAAGCCCCGGGCUCAACCUGGGAAGUGCAUCGGAAACUGCGUAGCUUGAGUACGGGAGAGGGAAGCGGAAUUCCGAGUGUAGGGGUGAAAUCCGUAGAUAUUCGGAAGAACACCAGUGGCGAAGGCGGCUUCCUGGACCGAUACUGACGCUGAGGCGCGAAAGCGUGGGGAGCAAACAGGAUUAGAUACCCUGGUAGUCCACGCCGUAAACGAUGGGUACUAGGUGUCGCGGGUAUUGACCCCUGCGGUGCCGAAGCUAACGCAUUAAGUACCCCGCCUGGGGAGUACGGCCGCAAGGCUAAAACUCAAAGGAAUUGACGG